UACGAGGGGGGCAAGCGUUGUUCGGAAUUAUUGGGCGUAAAGGGUGCGUAGGCGGUCGGGUAAGUCUGAUGUGAAAUCUCACAGCUUAACUGUGAAACUGCAUUGGAUACUAUCCGGCUCGAGGAAUGGAGGGGAGACUGGAAUACUUGGUGUAGCAGUGAAAUGCGUAGAUAUCAAGCGGAACACCAGUGGCGAAGGCGAGUCUCUGGACAUUUCCUGACGCUGAGGCACGAAAGCCAGGGGAGCAAACGGG
RNAcentral lists this ribosomal RNA (253 nucleotides) under uncultured bacterium. RNAcentral describes it as "partial 16S ribosomal RNA". It matches the Rfam family "Bacterial small subunit ribosomal RNA", at positions 524 to 776 of the family's 1533-position model. The record is from RNAcentral.